UUGCCUAGUAACGGCGAGUGAAGCGGCAACAGCUCAAAUUUGAAAUCUGGCCUCUUUGGGGUCCGAGUUGUAAUUUGCAGAGGGCGCUUUGGCGUUGGCAGCGGUCCAAGUUCCUUGGAACAGGACGUCACAGAGGGUGAGAAUCCCGUACGUGGUCGCUGGCCUUCGCCGUGUAAAGCCCCUUCGACGAGUCGAGUUGUUUGGGAAUGCAGCUCUAAAUGGGAGGUAAAUUUCUUCUAAAGCUAAAUACUGGCCAGAGACCGAUAGCGCACAAGUAGAGUGAUCGAAAGAUGAAAAGCACUUUGGAAAGAGAGUUAAAAAGCACGUGAAAUUGUUGAAAGGGAAGCGCUUGCAGCCAGACUUGCCUGUAGUUGCUCAUCCGGGUUUUUACCCGGUGCACUCUUCUAUAGGCAGGCCAGCAUCAGUUUGGGCGGUUGGAUAAAGGUCUCUGUCAUGUACCUCCUUUCGGGGAGAACUUAUAGGGGAGACGACAUGCAACCAGCCUGGACUGAGGUCCGCGCAUCUGCUAGGAUGCUGGCGUAAUGGCUGUAAGCGGCCCGUCUUGAAACACGGACCAAGGAGUCUAACAUCUAUGCGAGUGUUUGGGUGUCAAGCCCGAGCGCGUAAUGAAAGUGAACGGAGGUGGGAACCUUUCGGGGUGCACCAUCGACCGAUCCUGAUGUCUUCGGAUGGAUUUGAGUAAGAGCAUAGCUGUUGGGACCCGAAAGAUGGUGAACUAUGCUUGAAUAGGGUGAAGCCAGAGGAAACUCUGGUGGAGGCUCGCAGCGGUUCUGACGUGCAAAUCGAUCGUCAAAUUUGGGCAUAGGGGGCGAAAGACUAAUCGAACUAUCUAGUAGCUGGGUUCUGCGAG
RNAcentral lists this ribosomal RNA (871 nucleotides) under Scirrhia aspidiorum. RNAcentral's name for it is "LSU rRNA". It matches the Rfam family "Eukaryotic large subunit ribosomal RNA", at positions 75 to 964 of the family's 3401-position model. The record is from RNAcentral. Lineage: Eukaryota; Fungi; Ascomycota; Dothideomycetes; Mycosphaerellales; Mycosphaerellaceae.